AUUGAACGCUGGCGGCAUGCCUUACACAUGCAAGUCGAACGGCAGCAUGAUCUAGCUUGCUAGAUUGAUGGCGAGUGGCGAACGGGUGAGUAAUACAUCGGAACGUGCCCUGUAGUGGGGGAUAACUAGUCGAAAGAUUAGCUAAUACCGCAUACGACCUGAGGGUGAAAGUGGGGGACCGCAAGGCCUCAUGCUAUAGGAGCGGCCGAUGUCUGAUUAGCUAGUUGGUGGGGUAAAGGCCCACCAAGGCGACGAUCAGUAGCUGGUCUGAGAGGACGAUCAGCCACACUGGGACUGAGACACGGCCCAGACUCCUACGGGAGGCAGCAGUGGGGAAUUUUGGACAAUGGGCGAAAGCCUGAUCCAGCAAUGCCGCGUGUGUGAAGAAGGCCUUCGGGUUGUAAAGCACUUUUGUCCGGAAAGAAAUGGCUCNUGGUUAAUACCUGGGGUCGAUGACGGUACCGGAAGAAUAAGGACCGGCUA
RNAcentral lists this ribosomal RNA (483 nucleotides) under Ralstonia sp. ML7. RNAcentral describes it as "bacterial SSU rRNA". It matches the Rfam family "Bacterial small subunit ribosomal RNA", at positions 30 to 499 of the family's 1533-position model. Lineage: Bacteria; Pseudomonadati; Pseudomonadota; Betaproteobacteria; Burkholderiales; Burkholderiaceae. The record is from RNAcentral.